RNAcentral lists this ribosomal RNA (2480 nucleotides) under Proteus vulgaris. RNAcentral's name for it is "bacterial LSU rRNA". It matches the Rfam family "Bacterial large subunit ribosomal RNA", at positions 1 to 2507 of the family's 2925-position model. Lineage: Bacteria; Pseudomonadati; Pseudomonadota; Gammaproteobacteria; Enterobacterales; Morganellaceae. The record is from RNAcentral.
GGUUAAGCGAAUAAGCGUACACGGUGGAUGCCUAGGCAAUCAGAGGCGAUGAAGGACGUGCUAAUCUGCGAUAAGCGUCGGUAAGGUGAUAUGAACCGUUAUAACCGACGAUUUCCGAAUGGGGAAACCCAAUAUCCAAUGGAUAUUAUCAUGACGUGAAUACAUAGCGUCAUGAAGCGAACCGGGAGAACUGAAACAUCUCAGUACCCCGAGGAAAAGAAAUCAACCGAGAUUCCCCUAGUAGCGGCGAGCGAACGGGGAACAGCCCAGAGUCUUAAUCAAUAGCAGCAUCAGGAGAACGGUCUGGAAAGUCCGGCAGUAAAGGGUGAUAGCCCCGUAUCUGAAGAUGCUGUUAUUGUGAACUCGACGAGUAGGGCGGGACACGUGUUAUCCUGUCUGAAUAUGGGGGGACCAUCCUCCAAGGCUAAAUACUCCUGAUUGACCGAUAGUGAACCAGUACCGUGAGGGAAAGCCGAAAAGAACCCCGGCGAGGGGAGUGAAACAGAACCUGAAACCGUGUACGUACAAGCAGUAGGAGCCUCUUUUAUGGGGUGACUGCGUACCUUUUGUAUAAUGGGUCAGCGACUUAUAUUCUGUAGCAAGGUUAACCGUAUAGGGGAGCCGUAGGGAAACCGAGUCUUAACUGGGCGAAUGAGUUGCAGGGUAUAGACCCGAAACCCGGUGAUCUAUCCAUGGGCAGGUUGAAGGUUGGGUAACACUAACUGGAGGACCGAACCGACUAAUGUUGAAAAAUUAGCGGAUGACUUGUGGAUGGGGGUGAAAGGCCAAUCAAACCGGGAGAUAGCUGGUUCUCCCCGAAAGCUAUUUAGGUAGCGCCUCGUGAACUCAUCUUCGGGGGUAGAGCACUGUUUCGACUAGGGGGUCAUCCCGACUUACCAACUCGAUGCAAACUGCGAAUACCGAAGAAUGUUAUCACGGGAGACACACGGCGGGUGCUAACGUCCGUCGUGAAGAGGGAAACAACCCAGACCGCCAGCUAAGGUCCCAAAGUCAUGGUUAAGUGGGAAACGAAGUGGGAAGGCUCAGACAGCCAGGAUGUUGGCUUAGAAGCAGCCAUCAUUUAAAGAAAGCGUAAUAGCUCACUGGUCGAGUCGGCCCGCGCGGAAGAUGUAACGGGGCUAAACCAUGCACCGAAGCUGCGGCAGCGACAUUUAAGUGUUGUUGGGUAGGGGAGCGUUCUGUAAGCCUGCGAAGGUGUGCUGUUGAGCAUGCUGGAAGUAUCAGAAGUGCGAAUGCUGACAUAAGUUACGGAAAAGGCGGUGAAAAAAUCGGAAGCCGGGAAGACCAAGGGUUCCUGUCCAACGUUAUCGGGGGCAGGGUAAGUCACCCCUAAGGCAGGGCUGAAAAGCGUAGUCCAUGGGAAACGGGUUAUAUUCCCGUACUGGUGGUAACUGCGAUGGGGAAACGAGAGGGCUAGGUUGUCCGGGCGACGGUCGUCCCGGUUUAAGCAUGUAGGCAGAGUGAUUAGGCAAAUCCGGUCACUUAAUGCUGAGGUGUGAUGACGAACCACUAAGGUGGUGAAGCAAUUGAUGCCCUGCUUCCAGGAAAAGCCUCUAAGCUUCAGGUUACCAACAAUCGUACCCCAAACCGACACAGGUGGUCAGGUAGAGAAUACUCAGGCGCUUGAGAGAACUCGGGUGAAGGAACUAGGCAAAAUGGUGCCGUAACUUCGGGAGAAGGCACGCUGGCGGUAAGUGAAGUCCCUUGCGGACAGAGCCGAAGCCAGUCGAAGAUACCAGCUGGCUGCAACUGUUUAUUAAAAACACAGCACUGUGCAAACACGAAAGUGGACGUAUACGGUGUGACGCCUGCCCGGUGCUGGAAGGUUAAUUGAUGGGGUUAUCCUUAGGGAGAAGCUCUUGAUCGAAGCCCCAGUAAACGGCGGCCGUAACUAUAACGGUCCUAAGGUAGCGAAAUUCCUUGUCGGGUAAGUUCCGACCUGCACGAAUGGCGUAAUGAUGGCCAGGCUGUCUCCACCCGAGACUCAGUGAAAUUGAACUCGCUGUGAAGAUGCAGUGUACCCGCGGCAAGACGGAAAGACCCCGUGAACCUUUACUAUAGCUUGACACUGAACAUUGAGCCUUGAUGUGUAGGAUAGGUGGGAGACUUUGAAGUGUGGACGCCAGUCUGCACGGAGUCAACCUUGAAAUACCACCCUUUAACGUUUGAUGUUCUAACCUAGGUCCAUAAUCUGGAUCGGGGACCGUGUCUGGUGGGUAGUUUGACUGGGGCGGUCUCCUCCUAAAGAGUAACGGAGGAGCACGAAGGUUGGCUAAGCAUGGUCGGACAUCAUGCGGUUAGUGUAAAGGCAUAAGCCAGCUUGACUGUGAGAGUGACAGCUCGAGCAGGUACGAAAGUAGGUCUUAGUGAUCCGGUGGUUCUGAAUGGAAGGGCCAUCGCUCAACGGAUAAAAGGAAUCGAAUUACCCCCGGCCGCCUGUCGGCCAAAGGCAGCUACUG